UGAUCCAGAUGCAUACUGGAAAAGUGUUAUUAAUGCUGAGGCAAUUCCAGAGGCAAUUCAGAGCCUUAUAAACAAGGGUUAUUUAGUAUCUCCUUUCUCCAUCAAGAAAGCUAGCAAUGCUGAAGAGAAGCAUUUGACCAGAGCCCAUGAAUCAGAAAAUUUACGCUUUCUCCCCUACGCUGACCACAAGGAUAAACCAGCCCAUGAAUCAGAAAAUUUACGCUUUCUCCCAUACGCUGACCACAAUGAUAAACCAGCCCAUGAAUCAGAAAAUUUACGCUUUCUCCCCUACGCUGACCACAAUGAUAAAUCAGCCCAUGAAUCAGAAAAUUUACGCGUUCUCCCCUACGCUGAUCACAAUGACAAACCAGCCCAUGAAUCAGAAAAUUUACGUUUUCUCCCCUACGCUGACCACAAGGACAAACCAACCCAUGAAUCAGAAAAUUUACACUUUCUCCCCUACGCUGACCACAAGGACAAACCAGCCCAUGAAUCAGAAAAUUUACGUUUUCUCCCCUACGCUGACCACAAGGACAAACCAGCCCAUGAAUCAGAAAAUUUACGCUUUAUUCCCUACGCUGAUCAUAAGGAUAAACCAGCCCAUAAAUCAGAAAAUUUACUCUUUAUUCCCUACGCUGAAAAUUAGUUGAAAAAUAACGUUCAACUAAAGACCUUGAAUGAUCAGAAAGGCUUAUUGUCUAAGCAUAUAUAUUCCAUGUGUGAUGAAUCUAGUUUGAAUGCAGGCGAGUCAUUGGAGGCCAGAUGCUACAAAAUAAUAACGACUAGCGUGGUACAAUUAGGCCUAUGGUUGUGAUUGUUAUCUAAAUUAAAAGUGAUUUGUGUCUGUAAUGUGUCUUAAUAUGUAUUUUGUGAUUGUGAUGAUAAAAACUAUCAGUUUGUUGUUUCUUUACCUAGAGGCUAGAUGAUUAGCCAAUUUACGUGCAUAAUUAUUUAGAAAUAAUUAGUCUGUUAUUCUUUGGGACUAACAACAGUAAAAUAGACCUACAAAGGAGAAAGGGU
RNAcentral lists this long non-coding RNA (1020 nucleotides) under Panax ginseng (ginseng). Its description in RNAcentral is "long non-coding RNA (PGIN_LNC009430)". The record is from RNAcentral. Lineage: Eukaryota; Viridiplantae; Streptophyta; Magnoliopsida; Apiales; Araliaceae.